Molecule: long non-coding RNA, 1975 nt
Organism: Macaca mulatta (Rhesus monkey)
Lineage: Eukaryota; Metazoa; Chordata; Mammalia; Primates; Cercopithecidae
Source: Ensembl
ACUACAAGGUAAGGCAACAUUUGGAAAAAACCACCAAAAUACUAAAUGAAAAAGAAGGAGGACUAGGAGGAGGAAAAGGAGAAGAAGGAACAAGAAGAAAGGGAGAAAAGGGGAAAAAAGGAAAGGAAGAAGGGAAGGAAGACUAAAGUAAUCCCUCCAGAAAAAUGUGAUCUACCUGUUUAGAAUGUGAGACUACUACAUUUUAUUAAUUCAACAUUUUAUAUCCUUAUAAAUUCAAAUCUUUUUUUAAAAUUCAAAUCUUAAAAUGAAUAUAUUGCUAGACAUACAUGUGUUUCCAUUGUUAUUACUAACACUUUAAGUAACUAUUUUAAUUUUAGUAAAAUGAUUUAAGCGGAUGCUUCAGACCAACACCCUGUUUUUACAUAAGUUCUUUCAUAUGCAUCUCCAGAUAAAACAGGAAAUCUGAGUGCAGCCCAUUCCGUUGCAAUUUUCUUCAUUUUAUGCCAGAUUCCUAUGGCUAGUAGCUCUACAUCUGGUAGCAGGCUUAAAAAGUCAUCCACAAUCCGAGUUUAUGUAAGUCUUGAACUAUAUUUUAUUAUAAUACCCCAUCAACUUAUUUUAAAAUGUAUGUUUUUAAUCCAUCAGGAAUUAAUUUUAUUAUAUAGUGUAAUAUGUUAUAUCAAUACCACUUAUUAAAACUUCUAUUACUUUCCUUACUGACCUGAUAUGCUUCCUUUAUCAUAUACUUACUACAUGUCCUUUAGGCGUGUUUCUGACUUUCAUAUUUUGUUACAUUGAUACUUGUUUCAACAUACUGUUUGAAUUAUUUUUAGAAUGUAAGUUAACAUUUUGUACAAUGAGGCUGUGUCACUAUCCUUCCAAAAAUGUUUUUACAAUUCUCACAUUUUUCUAUUGUACUCCAAAUUAACUCAUUAAACAUUUGGCAAAAUUCUUAAGAAAAAUCACUUGCUAUACUGAAUAAUAUUUUACUAAAUUAAUAGAUUAACUCUGAAGAAAUAAAUUUUUAUGUUAUUAAACCCUCUAACUCAGUACUAGAAUAAGUCUGUACACACCUUUGUGUCUUCAUUUACUAUCUUAAUUAAUCUUUUAAAUUUCUCUGUUUAGGUUAGUACUACAGUUAAAUAUUUUUCUCACUGUCUAUGUGAUACUUCACUAUUUUGAAUUCUUUUACUGUUAUAGAUUCUAAAUCUAAGUUGCCUACAGUUGUUAAAUAAUUAUUUUGUGAUUGACUCUUUGCCUUAUUAUAUUAUUGCUUAUCAUACUUCAGUUGAUUCAGGUGAUUACCUUGGGCUUUCCAAGUACAGAGCAUAUAAUCUAUAUGUAGUGUUGUUUUGUCUCUUUUUUUGGUAAUAGUUAUGCCCAUGAUGUGUUUUGUAGCAAUUAAAUAGAAUAUUCCUAAGUGCUGAAAGUAGAAGUGACUCCAGAAUUUUACCAUUAAAAAUUAUGUGGUCUGUUUUAAGACAGUCUUUAUCAUGUGAAAGAGCUAUGUUUUGAUUGCACAUUUUUGAGCAGUCUUCCAGAGAAUAUUAAAUUUUAUCAAUUUAAUAUACAAAGAAGACUACAUUACUUUUCUUCCUCAAAUUAACUGUCCUUAAAGUAUUACAUAACCAAGGAGGUUAUGUAAUACUGCUUAAUUUGAUUUGCUAAUGGUUUAUAAAAGAGUUUUGUAAUCUUAUUCAAAAAUGUGAUUGACAUAUGUUCUUUGUGUUUUCAUGAUAUCUUGUUUAGUUAUUGGCAAGAAGAGUCUAAAAGAACAGCAAAUAUUUCAAAAUUUCUAUCUUUUUCUAUAGCUGGAAUAAUUUAAAUUGUAUAAGUUAUCAAAAUAUUAAGAUUUGAUAUAAUUAUACUCAACAAUAUGUGCAUAUUCUCUGAUCUCAAGAUGUUUAUACUCUAAAUUAACAUUCAAAUUAUGUCAAAAUACAAUGGUAUUUCAGAAAACUUGUAAAAUGUUUCCAAGAGAACUAACAAGGAGUAUAAUGUAAAGAACUUUAGA